GUUCUAAAGAAGGAUAUUAUGGCACUAGAAAAAGUGCAGAGGCGGGCUACAAAAUUAAUAAAAGGAAUGGAACAUAUCGGCUAUGAAGAAAGGUUAACAAAUUUAAACCUAUUUAGUUUAGAAAAAACGUCGCCUGAGAGGGGAUAUGAUAACAUUAUACAAAUAUAUUCGGGGCCAAUACAAACCAUUGUGUGGAAAUCUAUUCACAAACCGGACUUUACAUAGGACAC
Molecule: non-coding RNA, 230 nt
Organism: Pelobates cultripes (western spadefoot toad)
Lineage: Eukaryota; Metazoa; Chordata; Amphibia; Anura; Pelobatidae
Source: the annotation of a GenBank genome assembly